UGACAGUAUCCCUACGGGGAGGCAGCAUGGGGGAAUAUUGCACAAUGGGGGAAACCCUGAUGCAGCCAUGCCGCGUGUGUGAAGAAGGCCUUCGGGUUGUAAAGCACUUUCAGUAGGGAGGAAGGUAGUGUAGUUAACACCUGCACUAUUUGACGUUACCUACAGAAGAAGCACCGGCUAACUCCGUGCCAGCAGCCGCGGUAAUACGGAGGGUGCGAGCGUUAAUCGGAAUUACUGGGCGUAAAGCGCAUGCAGGCGGCCUGUUAAGUCAGAUGUGAAAGCCCGGGGCUUAACCUCGGAAUUGCAUUUGAAACUGGCAGGCUAGAGUCUUGUAGAGGGGGGUAGGAAUUUCAGGUGUAGCGGUGAAAUGCGUAGAGAUCUGAAGGAAUACCAGUGGCGAAGGCGGCCCCCUGGACAAAGACUGACGCUCAGAUGCGAAAGCGUGGGGAGCAAACAGGAUUAGAUACCCUGGUAG
Molecule: ribosomal RNA, 475 nt
Filed under: uncultured bacterium
Lineage: Bacteria
Description: bacterial SSU rRNA
Rfam family: Bacterial small subunit ribosomal RNA
Source: RNAcentral